RNAcentral lists this transfer RNA (69 nucleotides) under Ictidomys tridecemlineatus (thirteen-lined ground squirrel). RNAcentral describes it as "Spermophilus tridecemlineatus (thirteen-lined ground squirrel) tRNA". It matches the Rfam family "tRNA". Rfam says of the family: Transfer RNA (tRNA) molecules are approximately 80 nucleotides in length. Their secondary structure includes four short double-helical elements and three loops (D, anti-codon, and T loops). The record is from Rfam by way of RNAcentral. Lineage: Eukaryota; Metazoa; Chordata; Mammalia; Rodentia; Sciuridae.
GGGGUUGUGGUUCAGUAGUAGAGCGCUUGUCUAGUAUGUAUGAAGCACUGGGUUCAAAUCUCAGCACCA